This 923-nucleotide long non-coding RNA is filed under the name Linum usitatissimum (flax). Its description in RNAcentral is "long non-coding RNA (LUSI_LNC007543)". Lineage: Eukaryota; Viridiplantae; Streptophyta; Magnoliopsida; Malpighiales; Linaceae. The record is from RNAcentral.
UCCCUUUCUUAUAAAUAAAAACUGCACAUUUCCAGAAAUAUAUUUAAGAGCUACACAUUUCCAGAAAUAUAUCCAUAUGUUCAUCAUUACUCAUUAAUACAUUUAUAUCGAUUCAUGAUUAAUCAACUCAACUAGACAUUUAUUCAAUAUUCAAUACUGCCCAAGUUUUAAAUCGCUUUUUAUUUGACAUGUUCAAAAGUACAAUUUCUCAUGUAGUUGUUUUAGUAGGCAUUUCUACCCUCUCUACUUCAGUUGAUGUUUCUACCCUUUGUACUUCCGUUGGCAUGUUUGCCAUUGAUAUUUGGGUAGGUAGUGUUGAUUCUUGUCUUUGGGUGACAGGUUGAGCUUCAUCUCGAUUCUUCUUCGAAUUUUUAAUCGAUAUUGGAGACAAACUAGACUUGCCACAUUUAACCCCGCGUCCAGAAUUGUUUGUCAUUUUAGUUGUUCCUAAAAAAAUCAAUCGUUAUAGAAAUCAAGCUCCUAACCAACAGAACAGAUAACCCUACAACUAGCAAGACAAACCAAAAAUGAGAAGAAUUCACCGUCGGAAAAUUUAGGGUUCUUGACAAACCUAAUUUAUAUUUCCUAAUCGACCAGGCGAAGGAGACGAUAUUGAGAGGGCAACGUCAUUGUCGAGCGAUCAAUGGUGAUUUCCUGCCGAAUGAUUGAUGUCCGCAGAAGUUGCUCGAGGAUCGAUGAUCAGUUGCUCAUGGAUUGAUGGUUGCCGAAGUCACGAAGAUGAGGAGGUUUUUGAAGGAGAAAAGAGUUAAUAUUGGUUUAGAAUGAUUCAUGUUUAUACUCCAAAUCAAAUCAGACGAGAAGUUUUGGCACAUAAUAACAAAUAAUGUAAAUUAGGGUUCAAUACAAACAUGAUUUUUUAUUUUCUAGUUGACCACAUGGAGAUGGAGACGAUGUUAUGAGCG